GACGAACGCUGGCGGCGUGCUUAACACAUGCAAGUCGAACGGUGAAGCGCUUGCCUUUUUGGUGGGUGUGGAUGAGUGGCGAACGGGUGAGUAACACGUGAGUAACCUGCCCUCUUCUUCUGGAUAACCUCAUGAAAGUGGGGCUAAUACGGGGUAUUCCGGGUCUGUCGCAUGGCGGGUUUGGGAAAGAUUGCGCCUUUGGGUGUUUUCGGUGGGGGAUGGGCUCGCGGCCUAUCAGCUUGUUGGUGGGGUGAUGGCCUACCAAGGCGGUGACGGGUAGCCGGCCUGAGAGGGUGGACGGCCACACUGGGACUGAGACACGGCCCAGACUCCUGCGGGAGGCAGCGGUGGGGAAUAUUGCACAAUGGGCGCAAGCCUGAUGCAGCGACGCCGCGUGAGGGAUGGAGGCCUUCGGGUUGUGAACCUCUUUCGCCAGUGAAGCAGGCCUGCUCCUGUGUGGGUGGGUUGACGGUAGCUGGAUAAGAAGCGCCGGCUAACUACGUG
This 504-nucleotide ribosomal RNA is filed under the name uncultured bacterium. RNAcentral describes it as "partial 16S ribosomal RNA". It matches the Rfam family "Bacterial small subunit ribosomal RNA", at positions 28 to 507 of the family's 1533-position model. The record is from RNAcentral.